RNAcentral lists this ribosomal RNA (446 nucleotides) under uncultured bacterium. RNAcentral's name for it is "partial 16S ribosomal RNA". It matches the Rfam family "Bacterial small subunit ribosomal RNA", at positions 338 to 795 of the family's 1533-position model. The record is from RNAcentral.
CCUACGGGGGGCAGCAGUCGAGAAUCAUUCACAAUGGGGGAAACCCUGAUGGUGCGACGCCGCGUGGGGGAAUGAAGGUCUUCGGAUUGUAAACCCCUGUCAUGUGGGAGCAAAUUAAAAAGAUAGUACCACAAGAGGAAGAGACGGCUAACUCUGUGCCAGCAGCCGCGGUAAUACAGAGGUCUCAAGCGUUGUUCGGAAUCACUGGGCGUAAGGCGUGCGUAGGCUGUUUCGUAAGUCGUGUGUGAAAGGCGCGGGCUCAACCCGCGGACGGCACAUGAUACUGCGAGACUAGAGUAAUGGAGGGGGAACCGGAAUUCUCGGUGUAGCAGUGAAAUGCGUAGAUAUCGAGAGGAACACUCGUGGCGAAGGCGGGUUCCUGGACAGUAACUGACGCUGAGGCACGAAGGCCAGGGGAGCGAAAGGGAUUAGAUACCCGAGUAGUC